GUGGAGGGAGAUUAUAAUUCUAAGUAAAAACAUGAAAACAUUAAUGCUUAAGAUUUUAAAAACUAUUAUCCCUCUGUACCAGGCAGCCUGACCCUGACCUGAAGUAAAUUCCCAGGAGAGUUUUUUCCCUGGGUUUUGCAUUUGCAGUAAUAGGUGUGAACAUUCUAGCAGCAGUCUGAUGAUCAAGUAUGAUACUGCAAACAGGA
Molecule: small nucleolar RNA, 206 nt
Filed under: Camelus dromedarius (Arabian camel)
Lineage: Eukaryota; Metazoa; Chordata; Mammalia; Artiodactyla; Camelidae
Description: Small Cajal body specific RNA 16 (ENSCDRG00005021385.1)
Rfam family: Small Cajal body specific RNA 16
About the family: scaRNAs are a specific class of small nuclear RNAs which localise to the Cajal bodies and guide the modification of RNA polymerase II transcribed spliceosomal RNAs U1, U2, U4, U5 and U12.
Source: Rfam by way of RNAcentral